GCGUCUAUAGUUCAGUGGUAGAAUGUUCGCCAACCAGCCAUUCUGGAGGUCCGGGUUCGAUUCCCAGUUGAUGCA
This 75-nucleotide transfer RNA is filed under the name Trichobilharzia regenti. It matches the Rfam family "tRNA". From Rfam's summary of the family: Transfer RNA (tRNA) molecules are approximately 80 nucleotides in length. Their secondary structure includes four short double-helical elements and three loops (D, anti-codon, and T loops). Further hydrogen bonds mediate the characteristic L-shaped molecular structure. tRNAs have two regions of fundamental functional importance: the anti-codon, which is responsible for specific mRNA codon recognition, and the 3' end, to which the tRNAs corresponding amino acid is attached (by aminoacyl-tRNA synthetases). tRNAs cope with the degeneracy of the genetic code in two manners: having more than one tRNA (with a specific anti-codon) for a particular amino acid; and 'wobble' base-pairing, i.e. permitting non-standard base-pairing at the 3rd anti-codon position. Lineage: Eukaryota; Metazoa; Platyhelminthes; Trematoda; Strigeidida; Schistosomatidae. The record is from Rfam by way of RNAcentral.